This 253-nucleotide ribosomal RNA is filed under the name uncultured bacterium. RNAcentral describes it as "partial 16S ribosomal RNA". It matches the Rfam family "Bacterial small subunit ribosomal RNA", at positions 524 to 776 of the family's 1533-position model. The record is from RNAcentral.
UACGAAGGGGGCUAGCGUUGUUCGGAAUUACUGGGCGUAAAGCGCACGUAGGCGGACUUGUAAGUCAGGGGUGAAAUCCCGGGGCUCAACCCCGGAACUGCCUUUGAUACUGCAAGUCUAGAGGUCGAGAGAGGUGAGUGGAAUUCCGAGUGUAGAGGUGAAAUUCGUAGAUAUUCGGAGGAACGCCAGUGGCGAAGGCGGCUCACUGGCUCGAUACUGACGCUGAGGUGCGAAAGCGUGGGGAGCAAACAGG